Molecule: long non-coding RNA, 2687 nt
Filed under: Salvia miltiorrhiza (redroot sage)
Lineage: Eukaryota; Viridiplantae; Streptophyta; Magnoliopsida; Lamiales; Lamiaceae
Description: long non-coding RNA (SMIL_LNC004626)
Source: RNAcentral
UUUUUUUUUUUUUUGUCAUUAGUGUGGAGAAGAGUUUUUUUAUAUAGAUCCAAUAUUUAAACUCAAAAUUGAUAGAAAACUGUGAAGCCCAUUAUCUUAGUUGUGUCCUCGUCAUGUUAAUUUUACCGUCCAACGUUCAAUGACUAAGUAAUUAAGUUAGGAGUUUGUCGAUUGUAUAAGAGUUAGAUGGAACAGUAACUUAGACUUAUUUGAAAAUUAGGACAAAAAAUUUCGAGUUUACAAAAAUAAGAUAUAAUUAAUAAGUUAUGCACCAUAGGAUAAUUCCCAAUCCAUUUUAAAAGUUCGAACUUUACUUUGAUUGUUGUAGGCAUAUCAGGUGCUCGGUCAUGCAGUAAGCCCGGAACUCUUAAAAUGGGUUGAGAAUUAUUUUGCGGGGGUGCCUUACUUAUUAAUUAGUUUCUAAUUUUACAAACUUAAAAACUUUUAUUAUAAUUUCUAAAUCAGUUUAAGUUAUUGUCUUAAAAGAUCAUCUAACUCACAUAAAAAUAAGAACUUUAUAAUAAUUCGAGUUGUAAUUUUGGACAUUUAGAUUGAUAAUAUAGGAGGACAAUUUAAACAAUUAUUUUCAAAAGCUUCAAUCAAUCUUGAAUUUGGAUGUGGAGAUGAACAUCUUAAUCGCAACUCCAAACUUGUGCCAAAAUUUAAGAUGAAGAAAAUUACUAUAAACUGAAAUUAGGUCUAAUCUGCGAUAACGUAAAAGAGAAGAAUUUCAAUAGCAAUUCUUUCUUUAAUGAAUGUCUUAAUGUAGGGCAUAAAAUUCCUUUUUAAAUAAGUGUGGUGUCAUGGGCAAGUUGUGUAAAAUUAUUUAUUUCAUUUAAAGUUUUAAACUACCUCCACGAUUGUAUGCCCCCCUUUUGCUCUCCCACGCAUGUGAUGCAAACAAACAACUUUCAUCUUCAAUCUCACCCAAUUCAAACCAUUCUCGUAUUUUAUUGCUUUUCUAUUUGGAUUAUUAUUUCAAUCUUCACAAAAAGUUGUACUCCCUCCAUCCCAAACGAAAUGUCCUGUUUUUCUUUUUGGAUUGUCCCAAACGAAAUGUCUUGUUUCCUUUUUGAGAAAAAAUAAGAGAUAAUAAGUGUCUAAUUAAGUUACUAAUUCAGUCUUAAUUAAAACCUUAACUCUUAAACCUUAAUUAAGUUACUUUAUUGUAGGAUCCACUAAAUUUUAACUUUAUACAACACCACUUAAUACUCUAAUUAACUUGCUCCUUAAUAACUGUGCCCAAAAGAAACAUGACAUUUCGUUCGGGACGGAGGGAGUAUAUAAAUUCGCCAAAUAAUUUCUAUGUUGAGAUUCACUUUGCAUUUUUUGUACAAUUAUGUGCGGAUCGGUCCGAUCUCUGAAAUUCGUUCAUAAAAAUUGUUUCAUGAGUUAAGACUAAUUAGAUAGCCUCACAAGAGACUAUUCCUUUGAUCUUAUAUACAAAAUUGUGUAUUAAACUAAUUAGAAACAAAGAUAACAUUGUUUUAAAUUUAAUCAAAGAUAGUUUUUUAAAUACAAUCAAUUCUGUUACUCCCUCCGUCCCUAAAAUAAUUUCUUCUUUUUCCAGGGAAUUAAAUUCGCCAAAUAAUUCAUUUAUUCACUUUCAUUUUUGACAUAUGUGCGGAUCGUCCGAUCUAAAUCUUCAUAAAUUUUCUGAGUUAGACUUAUAGCUCACAAAGACUAUUAUCUUUUACAAAUUGUAUUAAACUAUUAAACAAAGAUAAUAUUGUUUUAUUUACCAAGAAUUUAUCAUAUUGUUAUUUUUAUACACAAGUUUGAUUCUUGGAAAAGAAAAAUAAGGCCAAAUAUUACAUCUCCGCGUAUCCAGCUUUGUUACAGCAAAGCAAAAUCUGAGAAAGAGAAAAAGAUAAGAGAAUAAUGGGGCCCACAAUAAGAGAAAUUAACAAACCUGUUUUCCUCUACCAAAAAAAAAAAAAACUGUUUUCCACAGCCUGGAAUUAUUGUCAAUAAUAAUCAAUGUAAUGUCAGAAAUUCAUACCAACUCUUUUUUCUUUUUUUCUUUCUUCUCUUUUUCCAUUGCUUAAUUACAGCGAAGAUCGCUCCUUCAAUCUAUCGACGCCAAAGCGGCAAAGCCCUUCUUUUCUUUUUCUUUUUUUCCUGUUUUUUUCUUAUUCUUUUUUUCAUAGUCCUAAAAUCUAAAAGCCAAAAAAAAANUCUCGUCUGAUAUCUCUGUUUUUGUUAAGUUUGAGUCUAGCUUUUUUUUCAAAAUAUGUAACUACUAUCUCUCAGCUGCACCCCUAUUCCAGAAAAUUAAUUAAAACCACCAAUAACAGCUGAACCAGCCAAAUUUAUGCCACAUUAUUGAACUCUUCGAUAAUUGAAUAAAACAGAUACUCAAUAAAUUACACAUUGAAGAAGACAGUACAUGAACACAAGUUUCCAUGUUGAAUUUUCAAAAUUGAUUUCUUGACUUCAAAGAGUUAGAUCAACACAAUCCAUCAAUACAUUUCUUUUUCCAAGUUUACUAUCAAAAGUGGGGGAGGAUAGAGCUAUAAUAUUGUACAAGUCAAGUGAAAAAAAUGAAUAAAUUAAAUACAACUAGCAAUCUUCCUUUUGAGGCUCAAAAAUGAGGUGAAGGAAAAUUAAAUACAACAUACGAAAUGCAACAUAUUCCAAAACAGACUUAAACUUAACCUGUAUGUGAUUCUCCAGUUAUCCUUUGA